This is a long non-coding RNA of Salvia splendens (bonfire salvia), 761 nucleotides long. RefSeq lists it as uncharacterized. The transcript is spliced from 6 exons. The record is from RefSeq and is a predicted model, not a curated record. NCBI's taxonomy places the organism in Eukaryota, Viridiplantae, Streptophyta, Magnoliopsida, Lamiales, Lamiaceae.
UGAAAUCUAGAGCCCACCUUCUUCAGACACUGGCAGAUGCUAGAGUUGAACUCACCAAUCUAUUAUCAGAUUUUGGAGAAAAGAAUUUUGUCGGAAUUCCUGACAAGACGUCAGGAACGAACAAGGAACAGCUUCAAGAACAUAUCUGCGGAGAUUGCUGGAACUAGUGUCCAGGUUGCGAAUAUCACAGUUGAUGAGGCCAAUCUAUCCAUGAAAAAAUUAGAUAGAGUUUAAUGCCCAGCUUCAAGAUCUUCAAAAGGAAAAGGUCUUUCUUGGUUUUUUAAAUUGACAGGCUGCACAAGGUUAUUGACUUAUCAGCACAGUUCACGAUCUUUGUGCUGUCCUUGCUCCUGGUGAUUUUUCAGAACUUUGUCGAACAUUAAAGAAGGUUAUCACCUAUGUAAACAUUAUUACUGUGGGAAAAUAAAGAAAAAAAAGGAAAAAAAAAAAGAAAUAAAGGAAAAAAAAGAAAUAAAAAAGGAAAAGAAAAGGGCAUCCUUGGUAGGGAUCCGAGAACCCUUCAUAAAGAAAAGGAUAAAAAGGAAGAAAAAAAAACAUUGCUGUUGCAGUUGAAGCUAUUCAAGCAUUGGGCAACUUUGCUAUGGAUCUGAGAACCCAUUUUUAGGCAAGAUGUCGCUUCUUAUUGCCUCUACUAUUGGAGAAAUUGUAGGAGAAGAAACCUACUUCAACUGAGGCCCUUACCCAAACUCUUCAGGCAAUGCCUAAGUCCAGAUGCUUGAGUGUAAAUGACACUGUUGAAG